CCCUGGUUAGCUUAGUUGGUAGAGCGCUCCACUGAAAAUGAGAGGUCCUGGGUUCGAUGCCCGUACCAGGCG
This 72-nucleotide transfer RNA is filed under the name Ixodes scapularis (black-legged tick). It matches the Rfam family "tRNA". Rfam says of the family: Transfer RNA (tRNA) molecules are approximately 80 nucleotides in length. Their secondary structure includes four short double-helical elements and three loops (D, anti-codon, and T loops). The record is from Rfam by way of RNAcentral. Lineage: Eukaryota; Metazoa; Arthropoda; Arachnida; Ixodida; Ixodidae.